AGGCUCCAGGAAGAGGCUCCAGAGGGCCCAGGUCCCUGGAGGAAGACAGAGUGUGGAUUAUCCAUCUCAAGGACUUGGGCAGCUUCUGGAAGUGGCUGAGACUGGAGGAAUGUUGUCACGCCUACCAGAUAUCCCUACGUGUAUCUCUACCACCCCUACUACAUAUUCUGAAGAACCAAGGUGAGCUGGGGGAGUCCCCAGGCCAGCAGGGCAAGGCCUGGGCAGGAAUGGAGUGAGGAAGUGAGAAGUGGGGGUCUUGGGGGUGGGCGGGCUGUGGGGCUGGGCUGUGCUGAGCACUGGGCAGGAGGCGGGAGGUGGCAAUGGAAGCGACAGCCCCCCAUCUUCCCCGGCUGCGUACGUGAGGGGUUCUGCUGCAUUCACUGAGUCACCAAAGGACACUGGAAGGCCAUCAGGAUUUUUGGGUGACCAAGACAUGGCUCCCCUCUUACUGCCUGUGGGGAGACAGGCAUGUGAACACCCAAGUCUAACCCAAGCUGAGUUGACUGAGGGCCAUUUAAAGAUUCCACAGAGGCUGAGAGCAGUGGCUCAUGCCUGUAAUCCCAGCACUUUGGGAGGCCAAGGCAGGUGGAUCACUUGAGGUCAGGAGCUCGAGACCAGCCUGGCCAACAUGGUGAAACCCCGUCUCUACUAAAAAUACAAAAAUUAGCCAGGCAUGGUGGUGCACACCACUAGUCCCAGCUACUCAGGAGGCUGAGGCAGGAGACUCGCUGGAACCCAGGAGGCAAAGGUUGCAGUGAGCCACGAUCACACCACAGCACUCUAGCCUAGGCGACAGAGCGAGACUCCAUCUCGAAAAUAAACAAAUAAAGAAAGGUUCCAAGGAUGGUCUGGAGGACAAACAAAGGAGGAGAUUUAGUGCAGGAGUUAGGACAAAGACUCUUGGGAGAGCAGCCCUCACUUGGGGCCAUAGUGAAUGAAUGGGGGCCUUUUGCAGAAGGGAAAUGGAGGACAUGUGUGGUGAAGGCUUUGCUGAAGCAUCUCUUAUAAAAGGGGCAAAAGCACUUGCUCUCCUCCCAGCUCUGGCUCAGCCUCUCUCUCUUCAAGUCCCUGGCAUCCCUGGAAAACCAUGAUUUUUCCAUUCUGCAGCCAGCCCAGGCACCUCCUCCCACCCCCGCACACCGCAGUCUGGUGUGUGUGGUGGGCACACAUAGAACACUUGCUGGUCUUGAAAAUGAAGCCAUCUUUCAGGGCCCCUAGAAAUCAAAGAGACCCACUUAGCCAAGAAAUCACUCUUGGACACCAGCAAGGGUGAGAUCACUUGAUAGGUAUUUUGCCGUGUGUUUCUUUUUAACUAUAUAAAAAACAAAAGGGUGGAUGUGCAAACCCAACCCAAGAAUACCUUGGCUCAG
RNAcentral lists this long non-coding RNA (1370 nucleotides) under Pan troglodytes (chimpanzee). RNAcentral describes it as "long non-coding RNA NONPTRT005536". The record is from RNAcentral. Lineage: Eukaryota; Metazoa; Chordata; Mammalia; Primates; Hominidae.